RNAcentral lists this ribosomal RNA (1555 nucleotides) under Escherichia coli. RNAcentral's name for it is "bacterial SSU rRNA". It matches the Rfam family "Bacterial small subunit ribosomal RNA". The record is from RNAcentral. Lineage: Bacteria; Pseudomonadati; Pseudomonadota; Gammaproteobacteria; Enterobacterales; Enterobacteriaceae.
UUAAAUUGAAGAGUUUGAUCAUGGCUCAGAUUGAACGCUGGCGGCAGGCCUAACACAUGCAAGUCGAACGGUAACAGAAGCAGCUUGCUGCUUUGCUGACGAGUGGCGGACGGGUGAGUAAUGUCUGGGAAACUGCCUGAUGGAGGGGGAUAACUACUGGAAACGGUAGCUAAUACCGCAUAACGUCGCAAGACCAAAGAGGGGGACCUUCGGGCCUCUUGCCAUCGGAUGUGCCCAGAUGGGAUUAGCUAGUAGGUGGGGUAAAGGCUCACCUAGGCGACGAUCCCUAGCUGGUCUGAGAGGAUGACCAGCCACACUGGAACUGAGACACGGUCCAGACUCCUACGGGAGGCAGCAGUGGGGAAUAUUGCACAAUGGGCGCAAGCCUGAUGCAGCCAUGCCGCGUGUAUGAAGAAGGCCUUCGGGUUGUAAAGUACUUUCAGCGGGGAGGAAGGGAGUAAAGUUAAUACCUUUGCUCAUUGACGUUACCCGCAGAAGAAGCACCGGCUAACUCCGUGCCAGCAGCCGCGGUAAUACGGAGGGUGCAAGCGUUAAUCGGAAUUACUGGGCGUAAAGCGCACGCAGGCGGUUUGUUAAGUCAGAUGUGAAAUCCCCGGGCUCAACCUGGGAACUGCAUCUGAUACUGGCAAGCUUGAGUCUCGUAGAGGGGGGUAGAAUUCCAGGUGUAGCGGUGAAAUGCGUAGAGAUCUGGAGGAAUACCGGUGGCGAAGGCGGCCCCCUGGACGAAGACUGACGCUCAGGUGCGAAAGCGUGGGGAGCAAACAGGAUUAGAUACCCUGGUAGUCCACGCCGUAAACGAUGUCGACUUGGAGGUUGUGCCCUUGAGGCGUGGCUUCCGGAGCUAACGCGUUAAGUCGACCGCCUGGGGAGUACGGCCGCAAGGUUAAAACUCAAAUGAAUUGACGGGGGCCCGCACAAGCGGUGGAGCAUGUGGUUUAAUUCGAUGCAACGCGAAGAACCUUACCUGGUCUUGACAUCCACGGAAGUUUUCAGAGAUGAGAAUGUGCCUUCGGGAACCGUGAGACAGGUGCUGCAUGGCUGUCGUCAGCUCGUGUUGUGAAAUGUUGGGUUAAGUCCCGCAACGAGCGCAACCCUUAUCCUUUGUUGCCAGCGGUCCGGCCGGGAACUCAAAGGAGACUGCCAGUGAUAAACUGGAGGAAGGUGGGGAUGACGUCAAGUCAUCAUGGCCCUUACGACCAGGGCUACACACGUGCUACAAUGGCGCAUACAAAGAGAAGCGACCUCGCGAGAGCAAGCGGACCUCAUAAAGUGCGUCGUAGUCCGGAUUGGAGUCUGCAACUCGACUCCAUGAAGUCGGAAUCGCUAGUAAUCGUGGAUCAGAAUGCCACGGUGAAUACGUUCCCGGGCCUUGUACACACCGCCCGUCACACCAUGGGAGUGGGUUGCAAAAGAAGUAGGUAGCUUAACCUUCGGGAGGGCGCUUACCACUUUGUGAUUCAUGACUGGGGUGAAGUCGUAACAAGGUAACCGUAGGGGAACCUGCGGUUGGAUCACCUCCUUACCUUAAAGAAGC